This 438-nucleotide ribosomal RNA is filed under the name uncultured bacterium. Its description in RNAcentral is "partial 16S ribosomal RNA". It matches the Rfam family "Bacterial small subunit ribosomal RNA", at positions 28 to 507 of the family's 1533-position model. The record is from RNAcentral.
GAUGAACGCUGGCGGUAUGCUUAACACAUGCAAGUCGAACGCAGACUUUCGGGUCUGAGUGGCGGACGGGUGCGUAAGGCGUGAGAAUCUGGCUUCAGGUUGGGGACAACCACGGGAAACGGUGGCUAAUACCCAAUGUGCCGUCAAGGUGAAAGAUUAAUUGCCUGAAGAUGAGGUCGCGUCUGAUUAGAUAGUUGGGGGGGUCAGAGCUCACCAAGGCGACGAUAAGUAGCUGUUCUGAGAGGACGAUCAGCCACACUGGGACUGAGACACGGCCCAGAGGACUACGGGAGGAAGCAGGGAGGCAUUAUCCGGAAUGGGCGAGAGCGUGACGGAGCAAUACCGCGUGAGGGAGGCAGGUUCUUGGGUUGUAAACCUCUUUUCUCAGGGAAGAAGGCAAUGACGGUACCUGAGGAAUAAGCAUCGGCUAACUCCGUG